This 513-nucleotide ribosomal RNA is filed under the name uncultured bacterium. RNAcentral's name for it is "partial 16S ribosomal RNA". It matches the Rfam family "Bacterial small subunit ribosomal RNA", at positions 28 to 523 of the family's 1533-position model. The record is from RNAcentral.
GAUGAACACUGGCGGCGUGCCUAAUACAUGCAAGUCGAGCGAACAGACGAGGAGCUUGCUCCUCUGACGUUAGCGGCGGACGGGUGAGUAACACGUGGAUAACCUACCUAUAAGACUGGGAUAACUUCGGGAAACCGGAGCUAAUACCGGAUAAUAUAUUGAACCGCAUGGUUCAAUAGUGAAAGACGGUUUUGCUGUCACUUAUAGAUGGAUCCGCGCCGCAUUAGCUAGUUGGUAAGGUAACGGCUUACCAAGGCAACGAUGCGUAGCCGACCUGAGAGGGUGAUCGGCCACACUGGAACUGAGACACGGUCCAGACUCCUACGGGAGGCAGCAGUAGGGAAUCUGCCGCAAUGGGCGAAAGCCUGACGGAGCAACGCCGCGUGAGUGAUGAAGGUCUUCGGAUCGUAAAACUCUGUUAUUAGGGAAGAACAAAUGUGUAAGUAACUAUGCACGUCUUGACGGUACCUAAUCAGAAAGCCACGGCUAACUACGUGCCAGCCGCCGCCGUAA